UGUGAGGAGGAGGACGAGGAGGAUUUUGCGAAGGAGGUGGUGGAGGAUGAGGAGGAGGUGGUGGAGGAUGACGCCGCCGAGAGGAGGCUGGUUGUUCGUCAGGUUUCUGAGGGUGGGGAUGGACCCUCACGGGUGACAGAGCACCACGAGGUGAGCGGUUCGCAACCGAGCGAUUCGACUAUCAGCACUACUUCCAGAGGGAAAGUGUGGCUGCGUGGUCCUUCAAAGCUUCCAAGACGUCCAUAUGUGCAUAGAGACGUGUUGAUUAAACCAAUGGGAGAGAAAAGCUUAGUAAAAGGUGGUGAGAGGCGUCUGCCACGGUCGCUGAGUGGCAUCAUUGGGGGUCUUUGUAGGUUAAAUUAUCCUGGGCUGGUCACUUUGCCGAACGGUAUCAUUGAGCCAGCUUGGUCAUGGGAUCACUACAAACUUGCACCGGAUUUCUUGGAUAUGCGUCAGAGGGUUUAUGAUAACAGAGCCACGCGAGUGGUCAACGAUUUCUGGGAUUUCUAUACAUGCGUUGAGGGUCAGAAGGAUCGUGCAAAUGUGGUGGUUGAGAAUAUUGCCAAGAAACUAGUCCACGACAUGCACUAUGAGGAGUGCGUCCGGUUAGUGGUCAAGUAUCACGCGGACUAUCUCAACCAUAGGAUUUCCAAACAGGAGGCUCGAGGGACGCAUCUUUCAUGGGACAAUUACUUCAAGCCGUGCUGGGAGAAGAUAGUCGAACGGUGGACAGAUCCAGGGUGGCAGGAUGAACACAAAGCAAUAUCUGAACGGAGUAAGUUGAUGGGGGGUCGAGGACACCGUCAAGGCAACCUCACCAUCCCAGAAGACACUGGCAAGGAUAUCACUUACUUCGAGGCAUGGACCAUCAAACGUACCAAAGACGACAAGGACAAGGACCCUCUCCACCCGGAGAGGGACUGGAUCAGCUCUAAAUCCCGGUCAGAUGGAGAGAACUACACCAAAAAAUUGAAGGAGACAUACGGGCCUGACGCUGAUCCUCACGUGCUACCGUUUGACCCUCUUGUGGCCAUUGCCGUGACAGGCGGUAGACCAAAUGGCCGGAUGGCGGUUCACCUAGAUUCUGUCAUAACCUCCUCCCUUCCGAGAGGCAACACGCUCCGUGCUAUGAGUACUGGCUCUACUCCUACCGUAGAGCGUCACGUACCACAUUUCGUGAGCAUUAUUGAGGAUAUU
Molecule: ribosomal RNA, 1197 nt
Filed under: Triticum aestivum (bread wheat)
Lineage: Eukaryota; Viridiplantae; Streptophyta; Magnoliopsida; Poales; Poaceae
Description: partial small subunit ribosomal RNA
Source: RNAcentral